AUGUCAACAUCAGAGGGUUCGGAGAGUGCUGAUUCCAUGGAUGAGAAUACGAGUCAAGUACCACAUGUUAGAAGGUCCAAGGUAUGGGAGCAUUAUGAAGUAUAUCUGGUUCUCAUAGAUGGUGAUCUCAAGGCUGUGUGCAAAUACUGUGGAGCGCAACUUCACACCAAGUUUGGGACUAGUAGUUUG
RNAcentral lists this ribosomal RNA (189 nucleotides) under Triticum aestivum (bread wheat). RNAcentral's name for it is "partial small subunit ribosomal RNA". The record is from RNAcentral. Lineage: Eukaryota; Viridiplantae; Streptophyta; Magnoliopsida; Poales; Poaceae.